This 395-nucleotide ribosomal RNA is filed under the name uncultured bacterium. RNAcentral describes it as "bacterial SSU rRNA". It matches the Rfam family "Bacterial small subunit ribosomal RNA", at positions 28 to 428 of the family's 1533-position model. The record is from RNAcentral.
GACGAACGCUGGCGGCGUGCUUAACACAUGCAAGUCGAGCGGUAAGGCCCUUCGGGGUACGACGAGCGGCGAACGGGUGAGUAACACGUGGGUGACCUGCCCUUAGCUCUGGGAUAAGCCUGGGAAACUGGGUCUAAUACCGGAUAUGACCUCAUGACGCAUGUUGUGGGGUGGAAAGCCUUGUGCGGCUAGGGAUGGGCCCGCGGCCUAUCAGCUUGUUGGUGGGGUGAUGGCCACCAAGGCGACGACGGGUAGCCGGCCUGAGAGGGCGACCGGCCACACUGGGACUGAGACACGGCCCAGACUCCUACGGGAGGCAGCAGUGGGGAAUAUUGCACAAUGGGCGAAAGCCUGAUGCAGCGACGCCGCGUGAGGGAUGACGGCCUCGGUUGUAA